Molecule: ribosomal RNA, 459 nt
Filed under: uncultured bacterium
Lineage: Bacteria
Description: bacterial SSU rRNA
Rfam family: Bacterial small subunit ribosomal RNA
Source: RNAcentral
AACGAACGCUGGCGGCAGGCCUAACACAUGCAAGUCGAGCGAACCCUUCGGGGUUAGCGGCGGACGGGUUAGUAACGCGUGGGAAUAUACCCUUUGGUACGGAAUAGCCUCGGGAAACUGAGAGUAAUACCGUAUGUGCCCUUCGGGGGAAAGAUUUAUCGCCAAAGGAUUAGCCCGCGUUGGAUUAGAUAGUUGGUGGGGUAAUGGCCUACCAAGUCUACGAUCCAUAGCUGGUUUGAGAGGAUGAUCAGCAACACUGGGACUGAGACACGGCCCAGACUCCUACGGGAGGCAGCAGUGGGGAAUCUUAGACAAUGGGCGCAAGCCUGAUCUAGCCAUGCCGCGUGGACGAUGAAGGCCUUAGGGUUGUAAAGUCCUUUCAGAUGGGAAGAUAAUGACGGUACCAUCAGAAGAAGCCCCGGNUAACUCCGUGCCAGCAGCCGCGGUAAAGUAGUCGUG